This 599-nucleotide ribosomal RNA is filed under the name Amolops torrentis. RNAcentral's name for it is "partial 16S ribosomal RNA". The stretch from base 343 to 591 matches the Rfam family "Archaeal large subunit ribosomal RNA", at positions 1787 to 2143 of the family's 2987-position model. The record is from RNAcentral. Lineage: Eukaryota; Metazoa; Chordata; Amphibia; Anura; Ranidae.
UUAUUUGAAUCAGGAUACAACCUCUAACAUCGGGUUAAUUUAGGUCCAUAAAACUAAGUAGGCCUAAAAGCAGCCACCUAAAAGAAAGCGUUAUAGCUCAAUUUCCUUGAACCUUAAAUCCAUUAAACUACUAUCAACCCCUCCCUACUACUGAACUAUUUUAUAUGUUAUAAAAAUAAUAAUGCUAGAACUAGUAACAAGAAUCCGCCCUUCUCCUAAAUGUGAAUUAAAGCCAAAAUGGACACUCCAUUGGCAAUUACCGCAAAUGCACUAACCAUAGUACCUCAUGCAAGAAAACCCUAUUACCCUCAGCGUUAACCUAACACCAGAACAUUACAGGAAAGAUUAACAGAGAAAGAAGGAACUCGGCAAAUUUCAGUCCCGCCUGUUUACCAAAAACAUCGCCUCUUGUUUAGAUAUAAGAGGUCCAGCCUGCCCAGUGACAUAGUUCAACGGCCGCGGUAUCCUAACCGUGCGAAGGUAGCAUAAUCACUUGUUCUUUAAAUAAGGACUAGUAUCAACGGCACCACGAGGACUGUACUGUCUCCUUUCUCCAAUCAGUGAAACUGAUCUCCCCGUGAAGAAGCGGGGAUAAAUAU